This 547-nucleotide ribosomal RNA is filed under the name uncultured marine picoplankton. Its description in RNAcentral is "SSU rRNA". It matches the Rfam family "Eukaryotic small subunit ribosomal RNA", at positions 597 to 1134 of the family's 1831-position model. The record is from RNAcentral.
GCGUAUAUUAAGGUUGCUGCAGUUAAAAAGCUCGUAGUUGGAUUUGUGGCGCGGCCGUCCGGCGGGGCUCUUUCAUUAGGGCCGUUUGUCCGGUUUUUCGGCCGCUCCAUUCUCGGGUAGCGUGUCGCUGGCAUUAGGUUGUCGGCUUCUUCGCGCCCGUCGUUUACUGUGAAAAAAUUAGAGUGUUCAAAGCAGGCUUAGGCCGUUGGAUACAUUAGCAUGGAAUAAUGAGAUAGGGCCACGACGGUCUAUUUUGUUGGUUUGCACGUUGUGGUAAUGAUUAACAGGAACGGUUGGGGGUAUUCGUAUUCAAUUGUCAGAGGUGAAAUUCUUGGAUUUAUGGAAGACGAACUACUGCGAAAGCAUUUACCAAGGAUGUUUUCAUUAAUCAAGAACGAAAGUUAGGGGAUCGAAGAUGAUUAGAUACCAUCGUAGUCUUAACCAUAAACUAUGCCGACUAGGGAUUGGCGGUCGUUAAUUUACAGGACUCCGUCAGCACCUUCCGAGAAAUCAAAGUCUUUGGGUUCCGGGGGGAGUAUGGUCGCAA